This 23-nucleotide non-coding RNA is filed under the name Cricetulus griseus (Chinese hamster). The record is from RNAcentral. Lineage: Eukaryota; Metazoa; Chordata; Mammalia; Rodentia; Cricetidae.
UACUGCACACUCUGUGAUAUUAG